CGUGCUCGGUACUUGCUAGCUACCGGUGUAAUCCGUUGAGGGGUCGGUGUAGCCCGAACUUCAUGGCGUUGAGCGUGCGGUGGUGGUUUCUGCAGUCAGCGGUGAGCGGCUACGGCUCAACCGUAGUGAGCCUUUGAAACUGUGAAACUUGAGUGCUGGAGAAGAGAGUGGAAUUCCUUGUGUCGCGGUGAAAUGCGUAGAUAUUAGGAGGAACACCAGUUGCGAAGGCUGCUCUCUGGACUUUAACUGACACUGAGGCACGAAAGCAUGGGGAGCAAACAGGAUUAGCACCCCUGUAGUC
This 301-nucleotide ribosomal RNA is filed under the name uncultured Halococcus sp. RNAcentral describes it as "bacterial SSU rRNA". The stretch from base 65 to 301 matches the Rfam family "Bacterial small subunit ribosomal RNA", at positions 557 to 795 of the family's 1533-position model. The record is from RNAcentral. Lineage: Archaea; Methanobacteriati; Methanobacteriota; Halobacteria; Halobacteriales; Halococcaceae.